RNAcentral lists this ribosomal RNA (482 nucleotides) under uncultured bacterium. Its description in RNAcentral is "partial 16S ribosomal RNA". It matches the Rfam family "Bacterial small subunit ribosomal RNA", at positions 30 to 507 of the family's 1533-position model. The record is from RNAcentral.
AUUGAACGCUGGCGGCAUGCUUUACACAUGCAAGUCGAACGGUAACAGGCCGCAAGGUGCUGACGAGUGGCGAACGGGUGAGUAAUGCAUCGGAACGUGUCCAGUCGUGGGGGAUAACUACUCGCAAGAGUAGCUAAUACCGCAUACGAUCUAUGGAGGAAAGCGGGGGACCGUAAGGCCCCGCGCGAUUGGAGCGGCCGAUGUCAGAUUAGGUAGUUGGUGGGGUAAAGGCUCACCAAGCCAACGAUCUGUAGCUGGUCUGAGAGGACGACCAGCCACACUGGGACUGAGACACGGCCCAGACUCCUACGGGAGGCAGCAGUGGGGAAUUUUGGACAAUGGGCGCAAGCCUGAUCCAGCAAUGCCGCGUGCAGGAAGAAGGCCUUCGGGUUGUAAACUGCUUUUGUACGGAACGAAACGGCUCUGGUUAAUACCCGGGGCUAAUGACGGUACCGUAAGAAUAAGCACCGGCUAACUACGUG